AGUGGGAUAGCUGGGUCAAAUGGUGGUUCCAUUCCAAGUUUUCUGAGGAAUCUCCAUGCUGCUCUCCAUAAUGGUUGCAACAAUCUGCAGUCCCACCAGCAAU
This 103-nucleotide microRNA precursor is filed under the name Marmota monax (woodchuck). The record is from RNAcentral. Lineage: Eukaryota; Metazoa; Chordata; Mammalia; Rodentia; Sciuridae.